AUUGAACGCUGGCGGCAGGCUUAACACAUGCAAGUCGAACGGAAACGAUGGUAGCUUGCUACCAGGCGUCGAGCGGCGGACGGGUGAGUAAUACUUAGGAAUCUACCUAGUAGUGGGGGAUAGCACGGGGAAACUCGUAUUAAUACCGCAUACGACCUACGGGAGAAAGGGGGCAGUUUACUGCUCUCGCUAUUGGAUGAGCCUAAGUCGGAUUAGCUAGAUGGUGGGGUAAAGGCCUACCAUGGCGACGAUCUGUAGCUGGCCUGAGAGGAUGAUCAGCCACACCGGGACUGAGACACGGCCCGGACUCCUACGGGAGGCAGCAGUGGGGAAUAUUGGACAAUGGGGGAAACCCUGAUCCAGCCAUGCCGCGUGUGUGAAGAAGGCCUUUUGGUUGUAAAGCACUUUAAGCAGUGAAGAAGACUCCGUGGUUAAUACCCACGGACGAUGACAUUAGCUGCAGAAUAAGCACCGGCUAACUCUGUGCCAGCAGCCGCGGUAAUACAGAGGGUGCAAGCGUUAAUCGGAAUUACUGGGCGUAAAGGGAGCGUAGGUGGCUCUAUAAGUCAGAUGUGAAAUCCCCGGGCUUAACCUGGGAACUGCAUCUGAAACUGUAGAGCUAGAGUAUGUGAGAGGGAGGUAGAAUUUCAGGUGUAGCGGUGAAAUGCGUAGAGAUCUGAAGGAAUACCGAUGGCGAAGGCAGCCUCCUGGCAUAAUACUGACACUGAGGCUCGAAAGCGUGGGUAGCAAACAGG
This 755-nucleotide ribosomal RNA is filed under the name uncultured bacterium. RNAcentral describes it as "bacterial SSU rRNA". It matches the Rfam family "Bacterial small subunit ribosomal RNA", at positions 28 to 776 of the family's 1533-position model. The record is from RNAcentral.